Podarcis lilfordi (Lilford's wall lizard) is the source of this 644-nucleotide non-coding RNA. Lineage: Eukaryota; Metazoa; Chordata; Lepidosauria; Squamata; Lacertidae. The record is from the annotation of a GenBank genome assembly.
CAUCGAUCUGGCCCAUUAACCUGGCAACCUUAUAUCCGAGGCCCUCAAGUCUCUUCCAUGUCCCUUUCGCAGCUCUUCUUCAUAUUUGUAACUGUAUUUUCCCUUGUCUCCUGCUCGUGGUAACUCCAGCUUGGCAAUAUUUUUAACCCUUCUCGACAGAUCAGCCCCUUUUCCAUAUUCAGCACUGAAUUCCAUAUGGUAUUUAAAAGCAUGUUUCAAAGACCCUCCAAAAUUAAGAGCCCCCACAAUCCCAAACAUCUCACGGCCCAUUGCCAGAUUUGAAAAGUCCAAACAUCCCAGCAUAGGGGGGGUCAAUCCAGCCCCCCAUUUCCAAGCCAUACCAAACUUUUUCUUUCCAAAUCUGGCUUUUUCCAAGUUCAUUUGUCAAAUCCGAAAACUCAUAUUCCUAUUGGGCCUGUUCUGUCGGACACACUCCUGAUUUAAUUCCUGGGUGGGCUCCACAUAUUUUCCCACUGUCUGUUCAAAAUUUCCCACUGCCUGUUCAAAGUUUCUAGUCGAAGUCGUCAUCAAAUUCACCUUCUCAUGUAACUGUUCCAGUAGGGCAUUUGUUUUGUAGAAAGCACACAACAAAGCUUCUGAAUACAUUGUCCUGCAAGGUCAAAUGCCUAUUCCCACGAUUGUAA